Long non-coding RNA from Brassica rapa (field mustard), 3947 nucleotides. RefSeq lists it as uncharacterized. NCBI's taxonomy places the organism in Eukaryota, Viridiplantae, Streptophyta, Magnoliopsida, Brassicales, Brassicaceae. The record is from RefSeq and is a predicted model, not a curated record.
AAAAAAGAGCUAAGAUACAAAAAUUAUUAUCAAAUAUUUAUUAUUCAUAAUCAUUAAUUGUCAUAUAUACGUUAAUCAUAUUAAGUAAUUUUGUAGUUUUUAUUUAAGAAAAGUGCGAGAAUAUUCUUUUGUACACUAUUUAUCAAUUUAAUAGUUAGUUUAAUAAAAAAUAUAAUAUAAGGUAAGAUGGACCAUCAUAUUUCUCUAAUAUGGUUAAUGUGAUUAAUAUGAUUAAUGUGGUCGUUUAAUAUAUGUUAAUAAUAUAAAAUUUAACAAAAAAGAGCUCAGAUACAAAAAUUAUUCUCAAAUAUUUAUUAUUCAUAUCAUUAAUUGUCAUAUAUAUGUUAACUAUAUUAGACAAUUCUGUAGCUUUUAUUUAAGGAAAGCUUUUAUUUAAGGAAGUUCGAGAAUAUUUUUUUGUACACUAUUUAUCAAUUUAAUAGUUAGUUUAAUAAAAAGUAUAAUAUAAGUUAAGAUGAACCAACCCAUUUAUCUAAGAAUUCUGAAUGUCAUUCUCAUGGUGACACAUGACUACAAAACAAUGUCGUAAUUUUUCUCAAUUAAUAUAUAAGAGAUUAUAAAGGAACUUUACAAUUUUCAGCCAAUUAUCAUACAAGCAGCUGAUUAUAAUUAUCCACAAGUACGAUAUAGUUCACUUUUUUUUUGGUAAAGAGAGGUCUUCUAAGCAUAAUAUAUAUAUAUAUAUAUAUAUAUAUAUAUAAAUAUAAAUCAUUAGGGCCAGGCACCUUCAUAUCUUGAAUAUAUAUUUAACACCAUGAGCUUAAAGUUGAGUCAUGAAUGCAUACUUGUGGUUUCCGGGUUGUUCUUUAAAUUUCCCACUAAAUUGGAGUGUAGUGGUAGGUGUGCAUGGUACUUUCUUCUUCAACCACUUACAUUUUUCCAACAUCUAUAGAUUCAUCUUCAUCCAAUAAUACUUUCUUCUUCAACCACUUACAUUUUUCCAACAUCUAUACAUUCAUCUUCAUCCAAUAAUACGCUUCCCAGAAUACUAAAUGGAUUUCACACAUAUUCUCAACUAAAACUAAAAAAUGUUAUCUUAUUGUGUGAAAUCGCUAAAACCCAUAUCACUCUAGGCAUGUAUAUGAAGCGCGAAAAAACACUAGUAAGUUUAAAUCAAUUAAAAAUAGAAGGUAAUCUCUAACCGCACUUGCGAUAAGUCCAAUAAGCAAUUCAACUUUGCCCGUUAGUUGUUUAAAUCAAUUAAAAAUAGAGGUAAUCUCUAACCGCACUUGCGAUAAGUCCAAUAAGCAAUUCAACUUUGCCCGUUAGUUGCGGCUUUUUGGUAUAGCGAUAUCAACGAAAUUAUCACUUGAUCAGCUGGGGGAAAAAACUGAGCGACGCCAUAAGGGCUGCUACACCAUUCAACGCUCCAUAUGGUCUAACUUAAGAAAACAAUAUGAAACAAAGUCACUUUCGUUGCCUCAUCUCAUUUCAAAUCCUCCAAUAGUUGUAAGCGAGGUCAAAGGUAUAGUAGUCUCUUUCUUGUUUUCUGGUUACAAUCGUUUGAGGUUUUAUUUAUAAUACUUACGAUUCAGAUAGGAACUCUUAAUUAAGCCUAUUCCAACAUUGUUGGUUAUGUCCGGGUAAAUAAAAAAAAUUAAAAUCCCCCAAAAAUUUCUUUUUGUAGUUUUGUAAACUAUUGGUAUAAUAAAUGUUUUUUUGCCGACCAACAAAAAUUAAUCAAGAAAUUAAAAUGUGGUGUUGGUAUUUCUCACAGCAUGGAAACUUGUUUGGUGUACAUGGGACACUAAACAUGGGCCUAAUUUAUUUAGUUUGUCUUUCAUUUGAAUGGAAAAUAUUAAAAGACUUGGGAUGUGAACACAUUUCAGGUUCGAUCUACCUGUGAUAUCAUUCAAAUUAUCCUAAUAAGUGAUUUGUACUCUUUCAAAUAUGAGGUAGAGUUAUAGCAUUUAAGGAUCAAAUUCACAAGGAGCUAGAACACACUAGAUCUAAAUAGUUAUUGAUUAAGCUAGGCUAAUAGAUUAUAAAGCAGUAAAUACCAGAACAUAGUGAACAAGGUAGUUGUUUAGUAAAUUGAUGAGUUGUUUGAUGGAAGGAUGGUUCAUUAGACUUAGGGUUUCUAUUCAAGCAAUCAUGAUUAUAAUGGUAUAGAUGCUAAGGUAGGAUAUUCUAAAACUCAAACUAAGUAAAAGUUUAUCAACUUCCGAUUGUUUAUAUUAUCUAUUUUCUAGAUCUAAGACCUCAGUUGUCGCUUGUUGGUCUUGAGAAAGUGUUGAUCGAUACCAAUUAUGGAUUAUCGAUCGAUACACCUUUCAGUUUGUCGGUCGAUACAACUACUGAGUUUUCAAUCGACGUUCCUUCUAGCAAGCUUUACCGCACGAGUUUGACUUGUUCAUUAGGUCAAUCCUAGCACAAUGUAAACUAGAUCAGACAAAGGACCAUGCUUCCGCUUGCGCCCAAUUAUCUAUAGACAAAGUCCUAGUUAGCUACUUUAGAACACAUACAUUGAAGAACAGUUCAAUUGAUUGAUAUCCUAACAACUUAGCAGUUCUAUUUUUUCGGGCUAAUCCCUCGUGACUAUCUAAACCCUAAAUCUAACAAGGUGAAUCUAUUCAAACAUGAUAGUUGUCAUAGAAAAUCAUAGAUGAAUAGAUGAAACUACAAUAGAUAUAAAAACCAAAGGAGUUCCAGGAGGUACACUUCCGCUUAAGUAUAUUCAAUCAAAGAAUCAUAUGGUUAAAGGAUUCAUUUUUGAUGAAUCAUAAAAGAAUUAAUUUAACAAUAUCUACUUUAAUACUUAAACUAAUCAACAAUUUCAAAAAGGUCUAGUUUUUUUUUUAAGUAAUACUCUUAAAUCUGUAUAUUCUAAUAUAUUAUUUAGGAUCUUAUUUUUAAUUUAUUGUUAAAAGAUUAUCAUAAGUUUUGGACUCUUUCAGACAUAUUACAAUAAUAUUUCACGUUCAUAAGGCAGGUAGUAUUGUCGGUUGUCGAAUCGUCUAUAUAAUCUUUCUUAUAUCAUAAUUGUAAUAUCAUAAUAAAUCAGCGUUAAAAAAAAAAAAUCAAAUGCACCGAACUACUUAAACUAAACAAACGUCGUCACGUACAACUAAAACAACGUUGGUUAUAUAUCUACGAAUAGAAGAACAAUAGAAAAUUAAAUUAUUUUUAUACUAAUCAAAGACACGGCUCUGUUUAUAGUAUGUCUUCAAAUAAUAAUGGACAAAUAAUAAUGUGUUUAUUUGACGGGCUUAAUCUAUCAAAUAGUAACGAAAGACAAAUGUUUUUCAUUACAUUUUUCUUCAUCUAUUACUCAUUCACAUAGAGUGAAUUAGCCCAAUAUCAUAUAAGAAGUAGCAAAUUAGGCAAAUGCCUAUGACACAAAAGUUGUGGGGAUCCAACAUAGAGAAAAUGUCAAAACUGACCUUAUGUCUAUAAAAAAGAGAUCACGACAAAACCGGUGAUAAUAGGUCAUAAGCUAAAUGAAAUAAAAAGUAAUUAGCGAAAAGCAAUAGAUCUCUCUCUCUUUCUUCCCUCUAUUAUUUUUGAGAGAGAGGGAAUUGCGUUAUUUCCCAUGCUUGAUCAAUCUGGUGAGGUUUUCAACCCGUAUAUCAGCUAUUGUGGAAGCCAAAUUCUCUCUGUCGCGUUUUCCUGUCUCCGGUAUGUUUUCGGUGGAAUACCGAUUAGACCGUCCGGCAACGGCUUACCUUUGGGUGUAGCGUCAACUCUCAACUGCUAACGGGGUUUGUCUAUAAAAGGAAGCCAACAAGCAAACUCUCACCAUAAAAAGCUGUCUAGUUAACAAAACCAAUACCACUCCUCCGUUUCUGUGUAUUGAUUGUAGACUUUGUAGUUACAGAAUCUUGUUUCGUGAUAUUUUAUUAAUACUAGUUACAGAAGCUGUCUAGUUAACUAAAAUAUUAGUUUGCUCCAUUGUCAUUGUGGCCAAUUAUUUAAGUUAACGUCUU